RNAcentral lists this long non-coding RNA (554 nucleotides) under Elaeis guineensis (African oil palm). RNAcentral's name for it is "long non-coding RNA (EGUI_LNC032967)". Lineage: Eukaryota; Viridiplantae; Streptophyta; Magnoliopsida; Arecales; Arecaceae. The record is from RNAcentral.
GGCUUAUCGAAUUUUAGCAUCUAGUAGCAAAUUAUUUAUGAGAUGGUGGGGGUAUGCUUUGGUUGUGGCCUUAUUGACCAUAAACUUAACGAUUGCCCUCAUCCUAAGGGGCAACCAGAAGGCAACCAUACUAGAUAAUAUCACGGUGGAAUUGAAGACUUUGGGCUCAAUAAUAGCAUCAUCCUCCUCUACAAUGCUUGCCACUUGUGCCGACUAGUCUCAUCCCAUCUAUAGACAACGGCCAGGGACUCUCCAAGUUUUAUAGUGAAGAACCAAGACAAAACUAACUUGGUCUUCUGAUUGGACUUAGGCCAGAGGCAAGGCAUCAAACCCCAUUAUCCGCACGAUUCAUAUGGUGGUUCAGGUUGGUGUUGUGCCAUCAUCCAAUGAGAGCUAUAGACCAUCAAACCAUAUGUUAAAACCAUCAAGUCACAUACUUGAGCCUUGCUUUCAAAGGUAGGGCAAGUGGCAUCAGGGCCUGUGACAUGGCUCAAUGGAUUGAAAUUCUUGAGCUUACCUAUUGAUUAGGACAAACUUUUUACAUGCUACUCUAC